GCAGACACAUUCCAGCCAAUCAGCAGCAGACCCUCCCUCCCAGACCCUCCCACCUCCUGGACAGCAUCCAUUUUACAUUCAUUGUGAAGCUGCAUUUUUAGUGAGCUGUCCAGGAGGUGGGAGGGUCUGGGAGGGAGGGUCUGCUGCUGAUUGGCUGGAAUGUGUCU
RNAcentral lists this microRNA precursor (167 nucleotides) under Pelobates cultripes (western spadefoot toad). The record is from RNAcentral. Lineage: Eukaryota; Metazoa; Chordata; Amphibia; Anura; Pelobatidae.